This 370-nucleotide ribosomal RNA is filed under the name uncultured bacterium. RNAcentral describes it as "bacterial SSU rRNA". It matches the Rfam family "Bacterial small subunit ribosomal RNA", at positions 525 to 896 of the family's 1533-position model. The record is from RNAcentral.
ACGGAGGGUGCGAGCGUUAUCCGGAAUUACUGGGUUUAAAGGGUGCGUAGGCGGCUUGGUAAGUCAGGAGUGAAAGUUUGCGGCUCAACCGUAAAAUUGCUUUUGAUACUGCCAGGCUAGAAUCAGGAUGAGGUCAGCGGAAUGUGGCAUGUAGCGGUGAAAUGCAUAGAUAUGCCAUAGAACACCAAUUGCGAAGGCAGCUGGCUAGACCUGUAUUGACGCUGAGGCACGAAAGCGUGGGGAGCGAACAGGAUUAGAUACCCUGGUAGUCCACGCCCUAAACGAUGCUUACUCGACGUAUGGCGCUUGUCGUUGUGCGUCCAAGGGAAACCGUUAAGUAAGCCACCUGGGGAGUACGACCGCAAGGUUG